GCACGGACCAAGGAGUCUAGCAUGUGUGCGAGUCGUGGGAGUUACGGCAAAGUUGUCGUAGUACCCCAGGCGUAAUGAAAGUGAGCCAAACUGUGAGAUGAAUGAAUUUUUGUCUUCACUGUGGGAUGAUCCCUUUGGCAUGUCCCGAAGCGGCGGGGGGACCGUGUGUUGCAGUCAGUGGCCGGGUGAGUUAUUUUCCCCGGCCCUCCUGAAUCUGUGGCCCUUCCCUCGUCGCGUUAGGGGCUGUCAGUACUCUCACGGGAGGGGGCGGAAUCCCGGGACUCGUCGUUCAAGCGACCGCAUGCGAGCAUUCAUUAGCUUGGGGGUGGCAUGUUGCUGCUGUACUUCUGUGCAUGUGUGCAGGCCCCCUUUUAGCGUGUGUGUUAGCGUGUGUGGAGCUGACGAGCACCCUGAGCAGACAUGUUAGUACCCGAAAGAUGGUGAACUAUGCCCGGGGAGGACGAAGCUAGAGGAAACUCUGGUGGAGGUCCGCCGCGGUUCUGACGUGCAAAUCGAUCGCCAGAUCUGGGUAUAGGGGCGAAAGACCAAUCGAACCAUCUAGUAGCUGGUUCCCCCCGAAAUUUCCCUCAGGAUAGCUGGUACUUGUCAAUGAGUUACAUCCUGUAAAGAGAAUGACUGGAGGUCUUGGGGGUGUAAUACCCUCAACCUACUCUCAAACUUUAAAUGGGUGAGAUGCCGGGCUUUCUUAACUGAAGCCGACAGGCGGUAAAUCAGAGUACCAAGUGGGCCAAUUUUGGUAAGCAGAACUGGCGAUGUGGGAUGCACCAGUAGUGCGAGUUAAAGGGCCAAAACAGAAGGCUAAGUGGGUCCAAAAAAGGUGUCACUUGCUAUAGACAGCAGGGCGGUGGCCAUGGAAGUCGGCAUCCGCUAAGGAGUGUGUAACAACUCACCUGCCGAAGCAAGUGGCCCUGAAAAUGGAUGGCACUUAAGAAUUCUCCUGACACUCGGCCGCCAGUAAACUUUAAAGUUGGCAAUCGGGUCGGAGGGUAACUGUCCUCCGGCUCUCAUGCCCUGGCGGGUAGGGGGGCGUGGCGGUUAGCCAGGAAGGAUCGAGCGUGAGCUGGUCUGGAGCUGCCGUUAGUGCGAAUCUUGGUGGUAGUAGCAAACAUGGUCUGGCGAGACUCCCGACGACCAGAUUGUCGAAGGGUUCCAUGAUAACACCUCUUGGACAUGGAUUAGUCAGUCCUAAACCCAAGUCUAACGACUUAUUACCGCACAGCAAAGGACGCGCGAGCACGCAGGGCUCACUGAGAGAGAGAGAGAGAGAAAUCUUUCUUUUCUUUCAGUGUAGUGAUCCAUGGUGGUAGCAGCUUAGUCCCUGUAUUCCACAGAUUGGUGUAWUGGAGAGGGGGUCUGGUGCCCGCCUCUCUCCCGAAGUGCUCGCAGCAUCUGCUAUUAUAUAGGGACAUGGAGCAAAGGUUCUCUUUUUAUCGGCGGCAGCUAGCUAGCUUGCUUGCUGUCGUCGGUGGAGGCAACCCGUCCCUCA
RNAcentral lists this ribosomal RNA (1507 nucleotides) under Allopetrolisthes spinifrons. RNAcentral's name for it is "eukaryotic LSU rRNA". It matches the Rfam family "Eukaryotic large subunit ribosomal RNA", at positions 659 to 1773 of the family's 3401-position model. The record is from RNAcentral. Lineage: Eukaryota; Metazoa; Arthropoda; Malacostraca; Decapoda; Porcellanidae.